Molecule: ribosomal RNA, 252 nt
Filed under: uncultured bacterium
Lineage: Bacteria
Description: partial 16S ribosomal RNA
Rfam family: Bacterial small subunit ribosomal RNA
Source: RNAcentral
UACGUAGGGACCAAGCGUUGUUCGGAUUUACUGGGCGUAAAGGGUGCGUAGGUGGCGGGGUAAGUCUGGUGUGAAAGCUCCGAGCUCAACUCGGAAAAGCAUUGGAAACUAUCCCGCUUGAGGGUCGGAGGGGAGACUGGAAUUCUCGGUGUAGCAGUGAAAUGCGUAGAUAUCGAGAGGAACACCAGUGGCGAAGGCGAGUCUCUGGACGACUCCUGACACUGAGGCACGAAAGCUAGGGGAGCAAACAGG